Molecule: long non-coding RNA, 639 nt
Organism: Oncorhynchus tshawytscha (Chinook salmon)
Lineage: Eukaryota; Metazoa; Chordata; Actinopteri; Salmoniformes; Salmonidae
Source: Ensembl
GCGUUGUGCUCCUGGUAGCGUUGUGCUCCUGGUAGUGUUGUGUUCCUGGUAGCGUUGUGCUCCUGGUAGCGUUGUGCUCCUGGUAGCGUUGUGCUCCUGGUAGCGUUGUGCUCCUGGUAGCGUUGUGCUCCUAAUAGCGUUGUGCUCCUGGUAGCGUUGUGCUCCUUGUAGCGUUGUGCUCCUGAUAGCGUUGUGCUCCUGGUAGUGUUGUGUUCCUGGUAGCGUUGUGCUCCUGGUAGCGUUGUGCUCCUGGUGCUGUUGUGCUCCUGGUAGAGUUGUGUUCCUGGCAAAAGUGCUCCUAAUAGCGUUGUGCUCCUGGUAGUGUUCUGCUCCUGGUAGCCGUGUGCUCCUGGUAGCGUUGUGCUCCUGGUAGCGUUGUGCUCCUGGUAGUGUUGUGCUCCUAGGGAAGCUUAAUUUCAUAUCCUGUCAAGGCCAGUGCAUAGCUGGCCAUCAGCUUUCAGGUUGAGUACAGAUGUGCCCAGAUGUCUCUGGAACAUGGACUGCAUCUGUAAUCACACCCUAUUCCCUAUAUAGCGCACUACAUUAGACCAGGACCCAUAUUGCUCUGGUCAAAAAGUAGUGCACUAUAUAGGGAAUAGAUGCACCCAUGGGCUACAUUUGAAAUGGCACCCUAUUCCC